GACGAACGCUGGCGGCGUGCUUAACACAUGCAAGUCGAACGGAAAGGUCCUGCUUAGGUGGGGUGCGGGGGUGGAGAACGGGGGAGUAACACGUGAGUACCCUGUCCUUGACUUUGAGAUGACUUAAGGAAACUGGGGCUAAUACCGGAUAGGAGCUCCCGCCGCAGGGUGGGGGUGGGAAAGUUUCGGCGGUUGGGGAUGGAAUGGCGGCUUAUCGGCUUGAUUGUGGGGUAGUGGCUGAGCAAGGCUUUGACGGGUGGCCGGCCUGAGCGGGUGACCGGCCACACUGGGACUGAGCUGCGGCCCAGACUCCUCCGGGAGGCAGCAGUGCGGAAUAUUGUACAAUGGGCGGAACCCUGAUGUAGCACCGCCGCGUGGGGGAUGACGGGCUUCGGGUUGUAUUCCGCUUUCGCCUGGGACGAAGCGUGAGUGACGGUAGUGUGUGAAGAAGCACCGGCUAACUACGUG
RNAcentral lists this ribosomal RNA (468 nucleotides) under uncultured bacterium. RNAcentral's name for it is "partial 16S ribosomal RNA". It matches the Rfam family "Bacterial small subunit ribosomal RNA", at positions 28 to 507 of the family's 1533-position model. The record is from RNAcentral.